RNAcentral lists this ribosomal RNA (388 nucleotides) under uncultured bacterium. RNAcentral describes it as "bacterial SSU rRNA". It matches the Rfam family "Bacterial small subunit ribosomal RNA", at positions 368 to 773 of the family's 1533-position model. The record is from RNAcentral.
GCAAUGGGCGAAAGCCUGACCCAGCAACGCCGCGUGAGGGAUGAAGUAUUUCGGUAUGUAAACCUCGAAAGAAUGGGAAGAAUAAAUGACGGUACCAUUUAUAAGCUCCGGCUAACUACGUGCCAGCAGCCGCGGUAAUACGUAGGGAGCAAGCGUUGUUCGGAUUUACUGGGCGUAAAGGGCGCGUAGGCGGCGCGGUAAGUCACUUGUAAAGUCACUGAGCUUAACUCAGAACGGCCAAGUGAUACUGCUGUGGUAUAGGGCGGAAGAGGCGACCGGAAUACUUGGUGGAGCGGUGAAAUGCGUAGAUAUCAAGAGGAACACCGGAGGCGAAGGCGGGUUGCUGGGCCGACACUGACGCUGAUGCGCGAAAGCCAAGGGAGCAAAC